Molecule: long non-coding RNA, 1146 nt
Filed under: Mytilus galloprovincialis (Mediterranean mussel)
Lineage: Eukaryota; Metazoa; Mollusca; Bivalvia; Mytilida; Mytilidae
Source: RNAcentral
AGCCAAUGAUUGCAAGAAAGGAAAAUAAAAUUGACUUUCAAAACCGAUUUUCAGAGAGUAAAAAAUAUAUUCAAAAUAUUGCUGAUGUGUCGCUUAUGAUGGCAAACAUUUCCCAGUUGCGAGCAGUUCUGGGCUUUGGGGAGAGUAAUACUUUUUAUAUUCAUCUCCUUACACUAAUUAGUGUUUCACUAGUGUCACAUACACUUUUCGUUUUUGUCAGUGUUAUCAGAGGUCAUUAUAUCAAAAAGCAUCACACUGCCUUGGUUCGAGCACAAAGGAACCGAGAAAAAACACCUGCAUUUUUUACUAACGUAUCGACACCAUCACCUAUUAAUGGCGAAUCCACUCUAAUAAGUGAUCAUGAUAACAACCUAGCUAGUAAACAAGGAACCGUUAUCUCCAAUACGGAAACAAAUGAACCAGCACCUGAACAAGAUACCAGUUCAAAAAACGCUCCCAAAACAGUAAGGUUUUGCUGUUGCUGUACAAAGCAAGACAGACCCGAUGAAUACGACGACAGUGAUAACUGCCAGUGUCCACAUUGUCAUACCGAUCUAUAUCUGGGCUAUUUCUGUAAUAUCCUCGUUUUCAUAACAAUUUGUGCAAAUAUUGGCAUUACUGGGAUUGGAAUAAUAGGAGAUUGUAAGCCUAAUGCAUGAUAAUCUAUUUAAAAAUAAUAACAUACAAUUAUUGGAUUCACAAGAAGAAGAAUUUUCAUUAAUAUAGGACAGUAUGCAACUCGAUAUAUAUUCUAUGUAUACACACUCCAAAAAUGUUAUAUUUUUUUCUUCUUCCCUGACCAGGAUUCAAACUCAUGCUACUGUGAUAUCGCGGCACCAAAUCGCCUUGAACUAUGCCCGACGCGCUUGACCAGCCGAGCACCUAGGCUCUAUACAAAUAAAGCUUUCGAUGGCAGGGUGUUACCUUUCCUCGUCAUUUAAUCUAGUACAUGAUAUAUAAGGCACGAAGAUAGAAUUGUUGCAGAUCAGUAAAAGAGAUAAUUGCAUUUGAUCAUGAUUUACCAAUAUUCAUGUUAUUCAUGUAAUUCAAACUUAAAUAUACAAAUGGAUAUAAAACCUUUACUUGUUCCAUAAGCAUUAUUUAGUGUUUUAAUUUUAUUCAAAUUCCAUUAAAUGUAUCCAAACC